AUGAAGAUCACACUAGAACAAGGCUUCUCUGAAAUUGAAUUUGAAGCUGAUAUCAUGCAAAACAUCAACCGGAGCUCCAACACCCCCAUCUCCAUGCACCGUGUCAUGUUUGGACCCGAAGGCUGGGCAGACCUACCACAUGGAUUAUUGCACUCCAUCAUUGUCCUGUUGGGUUCAACUCGUAACCUUCUUGCAGUCAUCGCCACCUGCCCUAGCUGGUAUGCCGCAUUCAUGUCAAUCAAAUCUACCUUAGGCGAGCUCUUCCCACCUGUUAUUUUCUGGAACUGUGCCGACCAGACAAGCUCAGCUGGCUCUCACAUUGGAAACACAUGGGAGCUCAUUGAUCCUGUAUAUCCAAGUACCCCGUUGUGUCGCUUGACCCCUCCAAGUAUUUUGGACAAAAUGGCAGUCGUCAAAUGUUCUUAUGGUCAUGUGAUUUUCUGCUACGAUAGAUCCCUUGUCAUUAUGGAUGUGCUCACUGGCACAACGGUUGCAGCUCCACCUUUCCCAUUGAGUCAACUAUGCUACAGAACCUUCAUAUCUCCAGAGGCGUCACCAGAUUCAUAUCUAUUUGUCAGCAGCCCGCACUGCCUGUACGCUUGGCGAGUUGGGAGCCCCUCUUGGUUGCACUGCGAUUUUCUAAAUGCACAUUUGAUCAAGGAGAUGGUGUCCUUCAAAGGCCGGGUCAUUAUGAGGAUGCGUCAAAAACUAUACACCGUGCAUUUGGCACCUCAGUUUCAUGUUGAGGUACUAAGAGUUGAUUGCAGAUAUUAUAUGGACCCAUACGUGCUUUCCGGAAAUUUGGUGGCUUGUGAAGACACACUUCUCCUACUUGGUCGUAACUGGGAAGCCUUCUCCAUUGACUUCUCAACUGAACCUGCAAAGUAUGUGAGCGUGGAAGAGGGAGGCUUGAAGAAGUGGGCGUUCUUCUUUGGCGAGAAACGUACUGGACAGCCACGACUCUUAAUGAACCCAGAGAGAAUGGGUUUAAGGGGUGGCCUUGUCUAUCAGUUGGAUGAAAACGCUCGGGUAUUUUCAUACCCAGUAGAUGGCAACCAAAAUGAGGAGUUGGAGCCAGAACCUUGUUUUGCGACGAUCAAUGCUUAUCUUGCUCGCAAUCCUACAUCCUUCGCAGCUUGGGUAUGA
RNAcentral lists this ribosomal RNA (1146 nucleotides) under Triticum aestivum (bread wheat). RNAcentral describes it as "partial small subunit ribosomal RNA". The record is from RNAcentral. Lineage: Eukaryota; Viridiplantae; Streptophyta; Magnoliopsida; Poales; Poaceae.